AUUGAACGCUGGCGGCAGGCUUAACACAUGCAAGUCGAGCGGGGGAAGGUAGCUUGCUACCGGACCUAGCGGCGGACGGGUGAGUAAUGCUUAGGAAUCUGCCUAUUAGUGGGGGACAACAUCUCGAAAGGGAUGCUAAUACCGCAUACGUCCUACGGGAGAAAGCAGGGGAUCUUCGGAUCUUGCGCUCAUCGAUGAGCCUAAGUCGGAUUAGCUAGUUGGUGGGGUAAAGGCCUACCAAGGCGACGGUCUGUAGCGGGGUCGAGGGGAUGAUCCGCCACACUGGGACUGAGACACGGCCCAGAGUGCUACGGGAGGCAGAAGUGGGGAAUAUUGGAAAAUGGGGGGAACCCUGAGCCAGCCAUGCCGCGUGUGUGAAGAAGGCCUUAUGGUUGUAAAGCACUUUAAGCGAGGAGGAGGCUACUCUAGUUAAUACCUAGGGAUAGUGGACGUUACUCGCAGAAUAAGCACCGGCUAACUCUGUGCCAGCCGCCGCCGUAA
RNAcentral lists this ribosomal RNA (501 nucleotides) under uncultured bacterium. RNAcentral's name for it is "partial 16S ribosomal RNA". It matches the Rfam family "Bacterial small subunit ribosomal RNA", at positions 30 to 523 of the family's 1533-position model. The record is from RNAcentral.